Molecule: ribosomal RNA, 504 nt
Filed under: Candida albicans
Lineage: Eukaryota; Fungi; Ascomycota; Pichiomycetes; Serinales; Debaryomycetaceae
Description: eukaryotic LSU rRNA
Rfam family: 5.8S ribosomal RNA (bases 135-288)
Source: RNAcentral
UUGGCUAAUUGCACCACAUGUGUUUUUCUUUGAAACAAACUUGCUUUGGCGGUGGGCCCAGCCUGCCGCCAGAGGUCUAAACUUACAACCAAUUUUUUAUCAACUUGUCACACCAGAUUAUUACUAAUAGUCAAAACUUUCAACAACGGAUCUCUUGGUUCUCGCAUCGAUGAAGAACGCAGCGAAAUGCGAUACGUAAUAUGAAUUGCAGAUAUUCGUGAAUCAUCGAAUCUUUGAACGCACAUUGCGCCCUCUGGUAUUCCGGAGGGCAUGCCUGUUUGAGCGUCGUUUCUCCCUCAAACCGCUGGGUUUGGUGUUGAGCAAUACGACUUGGGUUUGCUUGAAAGACGGUAGUGGUAAGGCGGGAUCGCUUUGACAAUGGCUUAGGUCUAACCAAAAACAUUGUUUGCGGCGGUAACGUCUACCACGUAUAUCUUCAAACUUUGACCUCAAAUCAGGUAGGACUACCCGCUGAACUUAAGCAUAUCAAUAAGGCGGGAGGAA